RNAcentral lists this ribosomal RNA (503 nucleotides) under uncultured bacterium. RNAcentral describes it as "partial 16S ribosomal RNA". It matches the Rfam family "Bacterial small subunit ribosomal RNA", at positions 30 to 523 of the family's 1533-position model. The record is from RNAcentral.
AUUGAACGCUGGCGGCAGGCUUAACACAUGCAAGUCGAGCGGGGUGAUGGUGCUCGCACUAUCACUUAGCGGCGGACGGGUGAGUAAUGCUUAGGAAUCUGCCUAUUAGUGGGGGACAACAUCUCGAAAGGGAUGCUAAUACCGCAUACGUCCUACGGGAGAAAGCAGGGGACCACUUGUGACCUUGCGCUAAUAGAUGAGCCUAAGUCGGAUUAGCUAGUUGGUGGAGUAAAGGCCGACCAAGGCGACGAUCUGUAGCGGGUCUGAGAGGAUGAUCCGCCACACUGGGGCUGAGACACGGCCCAGACUCCUACGGGAGGCAGCAGUGGGGAAUAUUGGACAAUGGGGGGAACCCUGAUCCAGCCAUGCCGCGUGUGUGAAGAAGGCCUUAUGGUUGUAAAGCACUUUAAGCGAGGAGGAGGCUCUUUUGGUUAAUACCCAAGAUGAGUGGACGUUACUCGCAGAAUAAGCACCGGCUAACUCUGUGCCAGCCGCCGCGGUAA